RNAcentral lists this ribosomal RNA (421 nucleotides) under uncultured bacterium. Its description in RNAcentral is "bacterial SSU rRNA". It matches the Rfam family "Bacterial small subunit ribosomal RNA", at positions 355 to 775 of the family's 1533-position model. The record is from RNAcentral.
UGGGGAAUAUUGCACAAUGGGCGCAAGCCUGAUGCAGCAACGCCGCGUGAGGGACGACGGCCUUCGGGUUGUAAACCUCUUUUAGCAGGGAAGAAGCGACUGAGUUUACUCUGAGUGACGGUACCUGCAGAAAAAGCACCGGCUAACUACGUGCCAGCAGCCGCGGUAAUACGUAGGGUGCAAGCGUUGUCCGGAAUUAUUGGGCGUAAAGAGCUCGUAGGCGGUCUGUCGCGUCUGCUGUGAAAUCCCGAGGCUCAACCUCGGACCUGCAGUGGGUACGGGCAGACUAGAGUGCGGUAGGGGAGAUUGGAAUUCCUGGUGUAGCGGUGGAAUGCGCAGAUAUCAGGAGGAACACCGAUGGCGAAGGCAGAUCUCUGGGCCGUAACUGACGCUGAGGAGCGAAAGCGUGGGGAGCAAACAG